This 409-nucleotide ribosomal RNA is filed under the name uncultured bacterium. RNAcentral's name for it is "bacterial SSU rRNA". It matches the Rfam family "Bacterial small subunit ribosomal RNA", at positions 356 to 761 of the family's 1533-position model. The record is from RNAcentral.
AGGGCAUUGGCAUGGGGGGAACCCUGAUCCGCCAUGCCGCGUGUGUGAAGAAGGCCUUUUGGUUGUAAAGCACUUUAAGCGAGGAGGAGGCUACUCUAGUUAAUGCCUAGAGAUAGUGGACGUUACUCGCAGAAUAAGCACCGGCUAACUCUGUGCCAGCAGCCGCGGUAAUACAGAGGGUGCGAGCGUUAAUCGGAUUUACUGGGCGUAAAGCGUGCGUAGGUGGCCAAUUAAGUCAAAUGUGAAAUCCCCGAGCUUAACUUGGGAAUUGCAUUCGAUACUGGUUGGCUAGAGUAUGGGAGAGGAUGGUAGAAUUCCAGGUGUAGCGGUGAAAUGCGUAGAGAUCUGGAGGAAUACCGAUGGCGAAGGCAGCCAUCUGGCCUAAUACUGACACUGAGGUACGAAAGCA